RNAcentral lists this ribosomal RNA (253 nucleotides) under uncultured bacterium. RNAcentral's name for it is "partial 16S ribosomal RNA". It matches the Rfam family "Bacterial small subunit ribosomal RNA", at positions 524 to 776 of the family's 1533-position model. The record is from RNAcentral.
UACGUAGGUGGCAAGCGUUGUCCGGAUUUACUGGGUGUAAAGGGCGUGUAGCCGGGCUGACAAGUCAGAUGUGAAAUCCGGGGGCUCAACCCCCGAACUGCAUUUGAAACUGUUGGUCUUGAGUAUCGGAGAGGCAGGCGGAAUUCCUAGUGUAGCGGUGAAAUGCGUAGAUAUAUGGAGGAACACCGGUGGCGAAAGCGGCUCUCUGGCCUGUAACUGACACUGAGGCUCGAAAGCGUGGGGAGCAAACAGG